GAACAUGAUUCCAAGCUUUGAUUCAUGUGUGAAGAAAUGUUCUAUCAGUGGUGGCCAACAAAACUUGCAUGGAGAACAGAAAUGCUCUGUAUCUACACAGUGCAACAUGGUGGCCAUACUGAUACCAGCUAUUGACCAUUUUAACUCUUCAAAUUAUAUGUAACUCUAAUAAUUUAAAUAGUGGCAUGAGUCCAAUGGCCAUAUUGGACAGCCGAAUUCUAAGGGCUAUGGACCAAACUUCUCCUAUGGAACCAUCAAUUGAGGCUUUUGACUUCCCUGCUAGUAAGAGAUAUUCCCAAGUAAAGCCGGGUUCCAUGGGAAACUUGUUCAUGACUUGUGCCCUGACUAUGGCAGCAGCCUCAGCUGGGGAAAGCAGCCGCUCAGUCAUUCUGGGUCUCUCAGUGCCAUGAAAAACCAACUUGUCAAAAGACCACCAGGAAAAGAAGGAUGUGACACCAGACUUCCGACUUCCUUAUGUCAUAAUAUCAACAGCAACAGUAACAUAAUUAGACUUCAGCAGGCACUGGAUUAAGUACUUUUCUGCGGUGGCAAAUAAUGUGACUUGAUUUUCCCAGCCUCAGUUGAACCCUCUUUCCAGAUGGAGAGGCAGAAAAGCUUGUUCCCAAGCUCCUGUGUGCGGCAGCAUUCUGAAUGUGCACUACCUCCCUGUGGGGGACUGGAAGUCAGAGUGAGCUGGAGGCCCCUGCCCUGCUCCUACAGCUGCUAGCAGGCCACAGCAUGAUGUGUGCUCAGAAUCAGCAGCAGUGAGGCAGGUGAUCAGAAGUUCAGCACCUUGAUCAUGGCUUUGCUGGUCUACUGAGACGACUAUGGUGGUUGGUGUGGUAGUUCAUAGUGUCAGACAGAAGCCAUUUCUGGCUUCAGGGUGAUGCUACAGAGGCGUGUCCUUGGAUCCCAUGGUCCCUGGACUUCCAUUGCCCUACCUUUUCCAAUGGUUUUGGAAGCACCCAGUUCCUUAUAUGCAAUCCCUUUCUGCUUGAAAUGCAUAGAGUGAUUUCUGUUUUCUGCAUGUUUCCCUGAUUGACACAACUGCAUUAUCCCAUUUAGUCACUUCAGCAACCCUCUAGGGUAGGUAACUUCCCUAUUGCCUGUUUUCACAGAUGAUUAUCAAGCUCAGUUCUGUUUGUGAUAAGUGCUUUGUACACUCACAGUUUCAUACUUUCUCCACAAACCUAUACCUGUUUUAUAGAUAUUUCAGAAGCCAGAACAUGCACUUAGAAUAUCACUGCUUCUUUUUGUGAUGAAUUUGCACUCAAAGCAGAAAGGAACAGAAUAUACUUUUCAAGAAACUUGCUGAAGGAAUGAUGUUUUCUUUGCCACAAAAUGGUAGUGACUACCUCAAUUCCAAGCUCUGGCUUCCUGCUGAGAAAAUCCCAGCUCCAAGUUCUAACCACGGACAAAUAGCUAUAAACAUGGUUCCUUCUCUGAGCAUUCUGGACAAGAGAUCAUGGAUGGUUGAGGUCAUCCAUUGCCAGCUGGGGAAAUGGCCCAAAGAACAGCCUUCUCCUGGUGAGUCCAUACUGUUAUCUAUUUUGUGAAGGUAGAGUAUUGAAACUCCCAGAUUCCUGAUACUCCUUAUCUCACCUAUGACCGAGACACCCAUUAUUCCAUUUGUAGGAUGAGACACUGACCAUUCCAUGAACAAACCAAACAACUACUCUGAAAUAGUUUGUCUCAGGCUUGAGAGGUGAAAAGAUGAAAAACAAUUGCU
This 1729-nucleotide long non-coding RNA is filed under the name Marmota monax (woodchuck). The record is from RNAcentral. Lineage: Eukaryota; Metazoa; Chordata; Mammalia; Rodentia; Sciuridae.